CAGUAGCCGCGGUAAUACGAGGGGGGCAAGCGUUGUUCGGAAUUAUUGGGCGUAAAGGGUGCGUAGGCGGUUUGAUAAGUCAUCUGUGAAAUCUCUGGGCUCAACCCAGAGUCUGCAGGCGAAACUGUCGGGCUUGAGUAUGGGAGAGGUGAGUGGAAUUUCCGGUGUAGCGGUGAAAUGCGUAGAUAUCGGAAGGAACACCUGUGGCGAAAGCGGCUCACUGGACCAUAACUGACGCUGAUGCACGAAAGCUAGGGGAGCAAACAGGAUUAGAUACCCCAGUAGUCCCUGUCUCUUAUAC
Molecule: ribosomal RNA, 301 nt
Filed under: uncultured bacterium
Lineage: Bacteria
Description: partial 16S ribosomal RNA
Rfam family: Bacterial small subunit ribosomal RNA
Source: RNAcentral